Molecule: ribosomal RNA, 256 nt
Filed under: uncultured Gardnerella sp.
Lineage: Bacteria; Bacillati; Actinomycetota; Actinomycetes; Bifidobacteriales; Bifidobacteriaceae
Description: partial 16S ribosomal RNA
Rfam family: Bacterial small subunit ribosomal RNA
Source: RNAcentral
CGGAACGGGUGAGUAAUGCGUGACCAACCUGCCCCAUGCUCCAGAAUAGCUCUUGGAAACGGGUGGUAAUGCUGGAUGCUCCAACUUGACGCAUGUCUUGUUGGGAAAGUGUUUAGUGGCAUGGGAUGGGGUCGCGCCCUAUCAGCUUGUAGGCGGGGUAAUGGCCCACCUAGGCUUCGACGGGUAGCCGGCCUGAGAGGGCGGACGGCCACAUUGGGACUGAGAUACGGCCCAGACUCCUACGGGAGGCAGCAGC